ACAUACGACCAUACCCACGUGAAAACACGGGAUCCCGUCCGCUCUCCCUUAGUUAAACACGUGAGGGCCCGAGUAGUAGUUGGGUCGGUGACGACCAGCGAAUGUCGGGUGUUGUAUGUC
This 120-nucleotide ribosomal RNA is filed under the name Thermothelomyces thermophilus ATCC 42464. Lineage: Eukaryota; Fungi; Ascomycota; Sordariomycetes; Sordariales; Chaetomiaceae. The record is from RNAcentral.